Molecule: ribosomal RNA, 299 nt
Filed under: Clostridium fessum
Lineage: Bacteria; Bacillati; Bacillota; Clostridia; Eubacteriales; Clostridiaceae
Description: Lachnoclostridium sp. SNUG30386 partial 23S ribosomal RNA
Rfam family: Bacterial large subunit ribosomal RNA
Source: RNAcentral
CAGUUCGGUCCCUAUCCGGCGCGGGCGUAGGAUAUUUGAGAGGAGCUGCCCUUAGUACGAGAGGACCGGGGUGGACUGGCCUCUGGUGUAUCUGUUGAACUAUCAAGUUCAUGGCAGAGUAGCCAAGCCGGGACGGGAUAAACGCUGAAGGCAUCUAAGCGUGAAGCCCCCCUCAAGAUGAGAUAUCCCAUACGCAAGUAGUAAGACCCCUUGAAGACGACGAGGUAGAUAGGGCAGAGGUGGAAGCGUAGUAAUACGUGAAGCUGACUGUUACUAAUCGGUCGAGGGCUUAACCAAAA